Callithrix jacchus (white-tufted-ear marmoset) is the source of this 148-nucleotide unclassified non-coding RNA. It matches the Rfam family "Metazoan signal recognition particle RNA". From Rfam's summary of the family: The signal recognition particle (SRP) is a universally conserved ribonucleoprotein. It is involved in the co-translational targeting of proteins to membranes. The record is from Ensembl. Lineage: Eukaryota; Metazoa; Chordata; Mammalia; Primates; Cebidae.
GCUGGGCGUGGUGGUGUGUGCCUAUAAUCCCAGCUACUCAGGAGGCUGAGGCAGGAGAAUCACUUGAACCCAGGAGGUGGAGGUUGCAGUGAGCCGAGGUCAUGCCAUUGCACUCCAGCCUGGGUGACAGAGUGAGAUUCUGUCUCUC